UACGAAGGGGGCUAGCGUUGCUCGGAAUCACUGGGCGUAAAGGGCGCGUAGGCGGAUCUUUAAGUCGGGGGUGAAAGCCCAGGGCUCAACCCUGGAAUUGCCUUCGAUACUGAAGAUCUCGAGACCGGAAGAGGUUAGUGGAACUGCGAGUGUAGAGGUGAAAUUCGUAGAUAUUCGCAAGAACACCAGUGGCGAAGGCGGCUAACUGGUCCGGUUCUGACGCUGAGGCGCGAAAGCGUGGGGAGCAAACAGG
This 253-nucleotide ribosomal RNA is filed under the name uncultured bacterium. Its description in RNAcentral is "partial 16S ribosomal RNA". It matches the Rfam family "Bacterial small subunit ribosomal RNA", at positions 524 to 776 of the family's 1533-position model. The record is from RNAcentral.